UACCAGCACCCCGAGUGGUCGGGACGAUUAUUGGGCCUAAAGCAUCCGUAGCCGGUCCUGCGAGUCUUCCGUUAAAUCCAGCUGCUCAGCAGAUGGGCUGCGGAAGAUACUACAGGGCUAGGAGGCGGGAGAGGCAAGCGGUACUUUAUGGGUAGGGGUAAAAUCCUUUGAUCCAUAGAAGACCACCAGUGGCGAAGGCGGCUUGCCAGAACGCGCUCGACGGUGAGGGAUGAAAGCUGGGGGAGCAAACCGG
This 253-nucleotide ribosomal RNA is filed under the name uncultured bacterium. RNAcentral describes it as "partial 16S ribosomal RNA". It matches the Rfam family "Archaeal small subunit ribosomal RNA", at positions 474 to 727 of the family's 1478-position model. The record is from RNAcentral.